UUUCUUAGGGGAAAAUAUUACUGCUUCACUGUCAGCAAACAGAAGAGGACAACACCGGUGGUGAUGGACCCGGAGAGCUGAGCAGGCGACUGAAGAUGAACAGGUGGAGUGCAUCAGUUUUCGGGUGAUUGUGAACGAGAGGGUGGAGCUGAAAGAUCUGGCUCUGCUGUUGACUCCGUGACAUUUACUAUUUAUUCAUAUGUGAAAAACUUUUGUCUGCCAAAUUAAAGUCAAGGUCAAUAUAUUAAAUAAGGUUGGUUCAGGUUGUAAAAUGUCAAAUGUCAUG
This is a long non-coding RNA of Sinocyclocheilus grahami, 286 nucleotides long. RefSeq lists it as uncharacterized. Lineage: Eukaryota; Metazoa; Chordata; Actinopteri; Cypriniformes; Cyprinidae. The record is from RefSeq and is a predicted model, not a curated record. The transcript is spliced from 3 exons.